GACGAACGCUGGCGGCGCGCUUAACACAUGCAAGUCGAACGGAAAGGCCUGCUUUCCCUUGUGGAUUGCGGGUACUCGAGUGGCGAACGGGUGAGUAACACGUGAGUGAUCUGCCCCCAACUUGGGUUUAAGCCUGGGAAACUGGGUCUAAUUCCCGAUAGGACUGCAGGGUGGUGCCUGUGGUGGAAAACGAUUUUCUAGUGGUUGGGGAUGAGCUCGCGGCCUAUCAGCUUGUUGGUGGGGUAAUGGCCUACCAAGGCGGCGACGGGUAGCCGGCCUGAGAGGGUGGACGGCCACAUUGGGACUGAGAUACGGCCCAGACUCCUACGGGAGGCAGCAGUGGGGAAUAUUGCACAAUGGGCGGAAGCCUGAUGCAGCGACGCCGCGUGGGGGAUGACGGCCUUCGGGUUGUAAACUCCUUUCGACCGCGAGGAAGCCACCUGGUUGGAAGGGUGGUGACGGUAGUGGUAGAAGAAGCACCGGCUAACUACGUG
Molecule: ribosomal RNA, 494 nt
Filed under: uncultured bacterium
Lineage: Bacteria
Description: partial 16S ribosomal RNA
Rfam family: Bacterial small subunit ribosomal RNA
Source: RNAcentral